RNAcentral lists this ribosomal RNA (467 nucleotides) under uncultured bacterium. RNAcentral describes it as "partial 16S ribosomal RNA". It matches the Rfam family "Bacterial small subunit ribosomal RNA", at positions 29 to 507 of the family's 1533-position model. The record is from RNAcentral.
ACGAACGCUGGCGGCGUGCUUAACACAUGCAAGUCGAACGGAAAGGCCCUGCUUUUGUGGGGUGCUCGAGUGGCGAACGGGUGAGUAACACGUGAGUAACCUGCCCUUGACUUUUGGAUAACUUCAGGAAACUGGGGCUAAUACCGGAUAGGAGCUCCUGCUGCAUGGUUGGGGUUGGAAAGUUUCGGCGGUUGGGGAUGGACUCGCGGCUUAUCAGCUUGUUGGUGGGGUAGUGGCUUACCAAGGCUUUGACGGGUAGCCGGCCUGAGAGGGUGACCGGCCACAUUGGGACUGAGAUACGGCCCAGACUCCUACGGGAGGCAGCAGUGGGGAAUAUUGCACAAUGGGCGGAAGCCUGAUGCAGCAACGCCGCGUGCGGGAUGACGGCCUUCGGGUUGUAAACCGCUUUCGCCUGUGACGAAGCGUGAGUGACGGUAAUGGGUAAAGAAGCACCGGCUAACUACGUG